RNAcentral lists this ribosomal RNA (497 nucleotides) under uncultured bacterium. RNAcentral's name for it is "partial 16S ribosomal RNA". It matches the Rfam family "Bacterial small subunit ribosomal RNA", at positions 28 to 507 of the family's 1533-position model. The record is from RNAcentral.
GAUGAACGCUGGCGGCGUGCCUAAUACAUGCAAGUCGAGCGAACAGACGAGGAGCUUGCUCCUUUGACGUUAGCGGCGGACGGGUGAGUAACACGUAGGUAACCUACCUAUAAGACUGGGAUAACUUCGGGAAACCGGAGCUAACACCGGAUAAUAUUUCGAACCGCAUGGUUCGAUAGUGAAAGAUGGCUUUGCUAUCACUUAUAGAUGGACCUGCGCCGUAUUAGCUAGUUGGUAAGGUAACGGCUUACCAAGGCAACGAUACGUAGCCGACCUGAGAGGGUGAUCGGCCACACUGGAACUGAGACACGGUCCAGACUCCUACGGGAGGCAGCAGUAGGGAAUCUUCCGCAAUGGGCGAAAGCCUGACGGAGCAACGCCGCGUGAGUGAUGAAGGUCUUCGGAUCGUAAAACUCUGUUAUUAGGGAAGAACAAACGUGUAAGUAACUGUGCACGUCUUGACGGUACCUAAUCAGAAAGCCACGGCUAACUACGUG